UAAUGAAUAGACAUGAGCUAUGUACUGAAUUGCUCAGUAGAAUUGGGUACUUACUUGUGCAUAAAUACUUAGCUGAGGAUAGACUUUAAAAUACAGAAUUAGGAGAAAACAGCAAAAUACACGAAGCCAGAUACUGAACAAAGAGAAUUCUCUUAGAACCCAGAGAAUGAUGUGGCAAAACAGAGGACUAUCUAGAAGUAGACAGAAAGAGACCAAAGAUCAAUAAUCAACACGCAUUGAUUUUCAGGUGGUUUUUAUAUCUUACCUUUCUUUUUUUUUCAUUCUUGAGUGUAUCUUGUUACAGUUUAGCUGUGGUUUUUAACUCGAUUUUCACUUUGCCUAUCUUUCAGAGAGAAAUCACUUUGUUCUAUGUCGAAAGAUAUUGCAAUUGGCCCCUGUGGGUAUAAGCAAACCAGAUCCACUCUUUUUCUUUUCUCUUUAACCAAGUGUUCUAAAGAACUUUCAGGAUCUUGUAUUCAAAUUGCUAAAAUAUUUUCAUGCAAGCUAACCUUUCUACUUUUUAGAGUUUCUUAGUGCCAUGUGCUAAUUAUUAGGUAAAGAGCUAAUCAUUUCAGUGAACGUUAUGUUAUAUACCUCUUGCGUAACAGCUUUGUGAAACGGGAGCGACUGCGGACUCGUUUGGGAGACUGCCUCGCGCCCGCCCCACGCAACGCGCAGUGCCGCCGCCGGCCGGGAGGUGGCGCGCUCCGCCAGGGCACCGCGGCCCGCCCAGCAGCGGCGGGAAAGGCGCAACGCCUUUCUCUCGGGGCCGAGCUCCAGAGCUUCAGCGCUGUCGGAUAAUCUCUCAGGGUGAUCCCUUGCUGAAUAUUAUCUUUGUUAAUUAAAGUUGUACAGAGAAUAAAGUCCUCACUGUGUUGGAAAUAUGAACUGUCUAACAAGUAGCUAUAAUAAAGUAUGAAAAGAGCUGGAGAAUCUAACAAAAUCACACAGUCCUUUAUUUCACAGUUAUCAUGCAAAUCAGACGGCACAAGCUCUCCUGGUUGGCAUUCUGCCUGGUAGAUAUUUGCAGGAUGGGGCCUCAGGUCUUCCAGGCUCACAGCACAGCUAGACACCCUCAGCUGCAGGGCCAUACAGUAUGGAUUCCCAAGCAAAACAUCUCGCUUUGUGGGAUCUUUUAAAACAGCAGUUUUUCAGUCUGAAAUGUAAGUAUACUUUUCUUAUAUUCCUUUUUGUGAACAGCUGAUCUUCAAGUUUGUAGAUGUGCCUAGCAAGUGAACAAAAUAGCUUAUACCUCUUAUAACGCACGGUGCUUGUUCUUCACCGAAGCUAAGUUAAGUUUCAGUAAGGAAAGCAGACAAAUUCCAGUUUCUCCAGUAGACCCUCACGUGCCUCGUUUCACAACUCGCAUGCUCCAGUUGAUAGGAAUAACCUAAGCAAAAAGCAAGCUGAAAGUCCUGGAUGAACAUCUAAUUGGGGUACCAAAUUUUCUGUCACUUAAAAUAACAUGAUCUACUAAGACAGUUCCUCUGGUUUGUAAUUGCUUUGUCUGAGCCCUUUCCCAUACAGCGCAUGCACUAUAAACAAAUGAAUAUGAGAGUUUCAGUUCAGGAGCCACAGUACAGCCAUGUGGUAGAAGGUGGCCAGUGCAGUAUGUGGAUGUCUAGAAUAAACUACUAGAAUAAAUUACA
This 1649-nucleotide long non-coding RNA is filed under the name Numida meleagris (helmeted guineafowl). RNAcentral's name for it is "lncRNA (ENSNMEG00000021655.1)". Lineage: Eukaryota; Metazoa; Chordata; Aves; Galliformes; Numididae. The record is from RNAcentral.